Molecule: ribosomal RNA, 497 nt
Filed under: uncultured bacterium
Lineage: Bacteria
Description: partial 16S ribosomal RNA
Rfam family: Bacterial small subunit ribosomal RNA
Source: RNAcentral
GAUGAACGCUAGCGGCAGGCCUAAUACAUGCAAGUCGAGGGGUAAGGGAGAGCUUGCUUUCCCUGAGACCGGCGCACGGGUGCGUAACGCGUAUGCAACCUACCCUUUUCCGGGGGAUAGCCCGAAGAAAUUAGGAUUAAUACCGCAUAAGAUAUGAUACGGCCUCGUGAUGUGGUCAAACAUUCAUGGGAGAAGGAUGGGCAUGCGUGCCAUUAGCUUGUUGGCGGGGUAACGGCCCACCAAGGCGACGAUGGCUAGGGGAUCUGAGAGGAUGGCCCCCCACACUGGUACUGAGACACGGACCAGACUCCUACGGGAGGCAGCAGUAAGGAAUAUUGGUCAAUGGAGGCAACUCUGAACCAGCCAUGCCGCGUGCAGGAAGACGGCCCUCUGGGUUGUAAACUGCUUUUAUACGGGAAUAAACCUUUCUUCGUGAAGGAAGCUGAAUGUACCGUAGGAAUAAGGAUCGGCUAACUCCGUGCCAGCAGCCGCAGUAA